GACGGAGGGGGCUAGCGUUGUUCGGAAUUACUGGGCGUAAAGCGCACGUAGGCGGCCUUUCAAGUCAGAUGUGAAAGCCCCGGGCUUAACCCGGGAAUUGCAUUUGAUACUGUUAGGCUUGAGACCGGGAGAGGAUAGCGGAAUUCCCCAGUGUAGAGGUGAAAUUCGUAGAUAUUGGGAAGAACACCAGUGGCGAAGGCGGCUAUCUGGACCGGUACUGACGCUGAGGUGCGAAAGCGUGGGGAGCAAACAGG
Molecule: ribosomal RNA, 254 nt
Filed under: uncultured bacterium
Lineage: Bacteria
Description: partial 16S ribosomal RNA
Rfam family: Bacterial small subunit ribosomal RNA
Source: RNAcentral